This 253-nucleotide ribosomal RNA is filed under the name uncultured bacterium. Its description in RNAcentral is "partial 16S ribosomal RNA". It matches the Rfam family "Bacterial small subunit ribosomal RNA", at positions 524 to 776 of the family's 1533-position model. The record is from RNAcentral.
UACGUAGGGACCAAGCGUUGUUCGGAUUUACUGGGCGUAAAGGGCGCGUAGGCGGCGCGGUAAGUCACUUGUGAAAUCUCUGAGCUUAACUCAGAACGGCCAAGUGAUACUGCAGUGCUUGAGUGUGGAAGGGGCAAUCGGAAUUCUUGGUGUAGCGGUGAAAUGCGUAGAUAUCAAGAGGAACACCUGAGGUGAAGACGGGUUGCUGGGCCAACACUGACGCUGAGGCGCGAAAGCCAGGGGAGCAAACGGG